AUUGAACGCUGGCGGCAUGCCUUACACAUGCAAGUCGAACGGCAGCGGGCCCUUCGGGGUGCCGGCGAGUGGCGAACGGGUGAGUAAUGCAUCGGAACGUACCCGGGAGAGGGGGAUAACCGGCCGAAAGGCUGGCUAAUACCGCAUGAACUCGGAAGAGCAAAGCGGGGGACCUUCGGGCCUCGCGCUCUCGGAGCGGCCGAUGUCCGAUUAGGCUAGUUGGUGGGGUAAAGGCCCACCAAGGCGACGAUCGGUAGCGGGUCUGAGAGGACGAUCCGCCACACUGGGACUGAGACACGGCCCAGACUCCUACGGGAGGCAGCAGUGGGGAAUCUUGGACAGUGGGCGCAAGCCUGAUCCAGCAAUGCCGCGUGGGUGAAGAAGGCCUUCGGGUUGUAAAGCCCUUUCGGCGGGGAAGAAAUCGGUCAGGCGAAUAGUCUGGCCGGAUGACGGUACCCGCAGAAGAAGCACCGGCUAACUACGU
Molecule: ribosomal RNA, 484 nt
Filed under: uncultured bacterium
Lineage: Bacteria
Description: partial 16S ribosomal RNA
Rfam family: Bacterial small subunit ribosomal RNA
Source: RNAcentral